This 253-nucleotide ribosomal RNA is filed under the name uncultured bacterium. RNAcentral describes it as "partial 16S ribosomal RNA". It matches the Rfam family "Bacterial small subunit ribosomal RNA", at positions 524 to 776 of the family's 1533-position model. The record is from RNAcentral.
UACGUAGGCAGCGAGCGUUGUUCGGAAUUACUGGGCGUAAAGAGUGUGUAGGCGGUGCUCUAAGUUCGGUGUGAAAUCUCCUGGCUCAACUGGGAGGGUGCGCCGGAAACUGGAGUGCUUGAGCGUGGGAGAGGAAAGCGGAAUUCCUGGUGUAGCGGUGAAAUGCGCAGAUAUCAGGAGGAACACCGGUGGCGAAGGCGGGUCUCUGGGCCGAAACUGACGCUGAGGAGCGAAAGCGUGGGGAGCAAACAGG